AACUCCCAGGGUUAUUGGCAGGGAGUUUGGCAUGGAGAAGGUCAGUGACAGCUCUAAGAUCCAUGAGGAGAGUUUGGUAACUGAGGCUGGAGCUCUUCCAACCCGUGAAUGUGUGCGAUGGCCAAGAAUUCCGCCAUGGGCCGGGGCCGGGGGAGGAGCUAUCCUGAGGACAGAGUGCUUUCUUAAUUUCCGAAAGAGCCCAAGGAUUCAAGUCCCAACUCAGACGGCUGCCUCAAGCAUUUGAUGGUUCGGUGUUUGGGCCAACAACUGGAUAAAAAUGAAAGCUUGGAUAGAGAACUCUCGGGAAAAGGGAACUGGAAAUAAGAAUCUCCAACAGAUGGCCGGUGGCUCGUGAUUGAGAGACACCAAGUGACAUGAGCUGCCAGCGACUGGGUCGAUCUGAGAGUCAGCAGUCCAGGCACUUUGAGGGCAAGAAGACAUCGGGCCCGCCCUCUUCAGCCCGCGAAAUUCCAUCACGGGUUUCCUGUUUUUCAGGAGGAAGCUGUCCCAGUUACCACCCAAACCCUUCCUCGGGCUCAAUUUGAGGAGAAAGAUCUCAGAAAAUUACUUUGCUGGUGAGUUGAAGAGCCACUUCCUAAUUUGGGACCUAGAGACAUGUGGCCUCAGUCCCGUCACAUUCGGAACGGAGCAAUAUCCAGGACUCUGCGUUCACUGGUGCUGGUCAGUGCCCUUUGGAAUCCUUGAUCCCAAUCCCAGGGUGGCUCCACAACCACUCCGUGGAGGAGGUUGGGCGGGGGAAGGUCAGCCAUUUGUCCAAAGACAUAUUACACCGCAUGUUUGAGGCAUGAAGCAAUGUCUCUCUGUAACCCCGAAGCACUCUCCGGCAAGGGUCAGUUUCCCUGAAGAAGUGGAGACUCAUCACUUUCACCACCAAUUUGGAUUUAUUACCGAAUAUUCUAUAAUGCACUUCCCAUGCAUCCGGUCCCUACCUUCUGGGCACUUGCAGUCUAGAGCAGGCAACCCUGAAAGGGAUAAAUAAAAUUUAUCAUUCAAUCGA
Long non-coding RNA from Ornithorhynchus anatinus (platypus), 1018 nucleotides. RefSeq lists it as uncharacterized. The record is from RefSeq and is a predicted model, not a curated record. NCBI's taxonomy places the organism in Eukaryota, Metazoa, Chordata, Mammalia, Monotremata, Ornithorhynchidae. The transcript is spliced from 4 exons.